AGGCUUAGACAGCUAGGAGGUUGGCUUAGAAGCAGCCACCCUUUAAAGAAAGCGUAAUAGCUCACUAGUCGAGUCGGCCUGCGCGGAAGAUGUAACGGGGCUCAAACCAUACACCGAAGCUACGGGUUCAUCCUUUGGAUGAGCGGUAGAGGAGCGUUCUGUACGCCUGUGAAGGUCAGUUGUAAAGCUGGCUGGAGGUAUCAGAAGUGCGAAUGCUGACAUGAGUAACGACAAUGGGUGUGAAAAACACCCACGCCGAAAGACCAAGGGUUCCUGCGCAACGUUCAUCGGCAAAGGGUUAGUCGGUCCUAAGGGAAUCCCGAAAGGGGGACUCGAUGGAUAGCAGGUUAAUAUUCCUGCACACUGCUAUGUUCCUAUGGAGGGACGGAGUGUUGUACCUAGAGCCCCUUAUUGGAUUGGGGUAGGAGCUAUGAGGACGUUACUUAGGCAAAUCCGGGUAACAAUAGUCCAAGUAGGGUCUAAAUGUGCGGCUACGGCCAAGCAAAUUCUAGAGAGCACGCUUCCGAGAAAAACUUCGUUUGGGUUAAGCAUAGUGGUUCCGUACCGCAAACCGACACAGGUGGUAGAGUCGAGAAGACUAAGGCGAACAAGUGAGAGGUCCUCAAGGAACUCGGCAAAAUAGCGGCCGUAACUUAGGGAUAAGGCCCGCCUCCAUAGCAAUAUGUGGGGCCGCAGCGAAAGAUUUCCUGCCGACUGUUUAACAAAAACACAGCUCUCUGCGAAGACGUAAGUCCAUGUAUAGAGGGUGACGCCUGACCUAUGCUGGAAGGUUAAAUACGGGGGGUGCAAUGAGAUUCGUCUUGUUGUGCUGGACUGUAUAAGCCCCAGUAAAUGUCAGCGAUAACUAUAAUCGUUCUAAGGUAGCGUAUUUCCUUGUCGGGUAAGUUCCGACGUGCACGAAUGGCGUAACGAGUGGGAAACUGUCUCGAGGACCUGCUCGGUGAAAAUACAAUCGCGGUAAAGAUGCCGCGUACCUGCAGUUAGACGAAAAGACCCCAGGAGCUUUACUGUAGCUUCGUAUUGGGAUUGUUGAAUUAAUGCGUAGUAUAGGUGUGAGACUUUGAAGCGGGCUUUCGGGUACCGUGGAGUCGCCAGUGAAAUAGCACCCUUUAUUUUGGCAGUCUCUAACCAGCUAGGAAAAACCUAGUUGAGACAGUGCGUGGCAGGCAGUUUUAGUGGGGCGCUACCCUCCCAAAUCGUAACGGAGGGGUCUCAAGGUUGGUUAGCCGCGAAUGGAAACCGUGGCGAUAGUGUAAUGGCAUAAACCAGCUUGACUGUAAGGCGUAGAUGCCGAACAGACACGAAAGUGGAGCAUAGUGAACCGAUGGUACGCGUUAGAUGCGGCCGGAGAUUAUCCGACAAAAGUUACCCUGGGGAUAACAGGCUAGUCGUGCCCAAGCGUCCAUAGCGACGGCACGGUUCGGCACCUCGAUGUCGGCUCAACUUAUCCUGGGGCUGGAGCAGGUCCCAAGGGUUUGGCUGUUCGCCAAUUAAAAAGUUACGCGAGCUGGGUUUAGACCGUCGUGAGACAGGUUGGUCUCCUAUCUACUGCAGGCGUCGAUACUUGACGAGAUUUGUCCCUAGUACGAGAGGACCGGGAUGAACGAACCUCUGGUCUAUCGGCUGUCACGCCAGUGGCACUGCCGAGUAGCUAUGUUCGGAACGGAUAACCGCUGAAAGCAUCUAAGCGGGAAGCCGCCUCCAAGAUUAGGAAUCAUUAAACCUUAUCGUGACUGGGAAAC
RNAcentral lists this ribosomal RNA (1763 nucleotides) under freshwater metagenome. Its description in RNAcentral is "bacterial LSU rRNA". It matches the Rfam family "Bacterial large subunit ribosomal RNA", at positions 1081 to 2925 of the family's 2925-position model. The record is from RNAcentral.